UACACUCCUACGGGAGGCAGCAGUGGGGAAUUUUGGACAAUGGGCGAAAGCCUGAUCCAGCCAUGCCGCGUGCAGGAUGAAGGCCUUCGGGUUGUAAACUGCUUUUGUACGGAACGAAACGGCCUUUUCUAAUAAAGAGGGCUAAUGACGGUACCGUAAGAAUAAGCACCGGCUAACUACGUGCCAGCAGCCGCGGUAAUACGUAGGGUGCAAGCGUUAAUCGGAAUUACUGGGCGUAAAGCGUGCGCAGGCGGUUAUGUAAGACAGUUGUGAAAUCCCCGGGCUCAACCUGGGAACUGCAUCUGUGACUGCAUAGCUAGAGUACGGUAGAGGGGGAUGGAAUUCCGCGUGUAGCAGUGAAAUGCGUAGAUAUGCGGAGGAACACCGAUGGCGAAGGCAAUCCCCUGGACCUGUACUGACGCUCAUGCACGAAAGCGUGGGGAGCAAACAGGAUUAGAAACCCGAGUAGUCCCAG
RNAcentral lists this ribosomal RNA (475 nucleotides) under uncultured organism. Its description in RNAcentral is "partial 16S ribosomal RNA". It matches the Rfam family "Bacterial small subunit ribosomal RNA", at positions 332 to 799 of the family's 1533-position model. The record is from RNAcentral.